RNAcentral lists this long non-coding RNA (579 nucleotides) under Pan troglodytes (chimpanzee). Its description in RNAcentral is "lincRNA". Lineage: Eukaryota; Metazoa; Chordata; Mammalia; Primates; Hominidae. The record is from RNAcentral.
AGUCAUUCUUCUGGCAAACAUAUGUGGAAGGCCUCCUGUGUAGCAGACCCUUUACCAUGCCCUGGAGAUGCUGGGGUGCGACAAAAAAGUAGGCUUCUCCCAUGAUGAACCUCACGGUUGGAGGCAUCUGUCCACCCAUGUGGUUCCAGACACGUUCAUGUGGCCACCAUGACCCCGUCGGCAUCACAGGAGUAACCAAGAGAGCAGCAAGUUCCUGGGACAGAGGAGACAGAAGGGAAUUUCCAGGUUCUUCAGGACGUUCACAACCACACUGAGAAGCAUCUUUGCAGAUAAGUAUUUAAACUUACCAGCCCAUAGCCUACCAGCCUGCCCUCUUCUGGUCUGUGCAGGAAAGUGUAGUAUCCUAGAAUACCAAAGUGGGAGGGGAAAUGGGUGAUGUAGCUCAUUCUCUUUUCUACCUCUAUGGAAGAAAGAAAGAGCCUGUCCCCAUUUUGUGGGGUCCCAGAAAGGGUGAUUUUCACACUUCACAUUUGGCAUUAGGGCUAGUAUUUUACAAACAUUACCGUCUGGAACUUUUGAAGGCUGAGUUAAAUGACUUCAUCUUGUGUACUUGUAGAA